This is an RNA transcript of Mauremys mutica (yellowpond turtle), 7473 nucleotides long. It is a transcript of the gene named tankyrase 1 binding protein 1, with no coding region annotated. The transcript is spliced from 8 exons. The record is from RefSeq and is a predicted model, not a curated record. Lineage: Eukaryota; Metazoa; Chordata; Testudines; Geoemydidae.
GCCGCCUCCGCCCUUGUUUUGCUUCUCAUGAAUAUGCCGCGGAGGGGUCGGGGCGGUGCCGACUGCGAGCGCGGCGCGGAGCCCGACAAACCCUUGGUCUCCUGCGCACCACCUUUAGCUGUGACUGUGUAGCUUUGGACUCCUCCCUGCUCACUUCCUCUGCCUGUCCGAAGAGAGCUCCUGGCUUGGUUUGAACAUUUCCCAUAUGAACAUGGAGGCGUCCCAGGGGCUGACGUGUGCAUCAAGUUCAUCGAGCCUCAACCCAGGUGCCACCAUGGCCUCCCAGACGCACCCCCUGCAUUCCUCACCUCCCUGCCCUACCUCCAAUGGCGGCACGGGGGCCAGAGGUGGGGAGCCGGCGGGCAGCCCUAGGACAGGUGACACUCGCCUGAAGCCGCCGGUCGGGCCCAAACCCCGCACGCUGCCCAAGCCGGCUGUACCAGCCAAGCCCUGCACCCCGCCGCCAUCCCCUGGGUCGCGGCCCCCGCGCCUUGAGUUCCCCUCUGCCGAGAAGAUCAACCUGCUGGCAGGUCCCAAGCCGUACAGUGGCAGCAGCACCUCCCUUAAACGCCUGUCCUUCAGCCUCAAGAGCCCCCCAGCGGAGACCUCCACUGCAAAGGGGGCACCGCCACCCGCAGUCAGAGCCCUGCCCUCUACCACAGAAGAGAGAUCGCUGGCUCCUGUGACGCCCCCUGCGGGGGGGCCCCUAGGAGUUCUCAAGGGCGCUGCCCUGUUCAAAGUGAAGCCGGUGCCGGUGGUGGCCAAGCCGGAGCGCUUCCCCGGAACCACGGUGGAAGAGAUCUUGGCCAAGAUGGAGCACCCCCGCAAAGAAGGUCCGGGCAGUCCCGACCUGGCCUGGGGCCGGCGCUCAACCUUCAGCCCUGACAGCAGCUCCCGCUUCGGGCCCAAAAGCUAUGCCGCUUUCUGGAGACACCCUAGUGCUGAGGGAGGGGAAGGUGACGCUGUCACCCCUGGCUUUGAGGCCUCCUGGGAAUCUGGGUCCCCGGAAGCUCAGGAGAGGAGAGCGUCCUGUGGGGACAAGCCGGUCGCUGGCAGGACGAAGAGAGAAGGAAGCCCGAGUCCCAUUGGAGAACGCCCGCCAGAGCCCCCAGACGGAGAAGCAGAGCGAGACUUUGGCACAGCCUCCAGGACCAGUGGCUCUUCCCCGGCCAGCACCAACUGCGACGGGGACCAGUCCGGACGCAGGAAGCCGCGAUCCCCCCCUGGUUUCUCCUUGGCCCGGACCUGCCCCAUCCCCGUGGCUCCUGCUGAGCUCCCACUUGGGGCGGCCCCCGGCACCUCUGCUGGCCUUGCCCGGGCCCCAGGGGCCCCCAUCCUUCCUGCCGAGCAUCCUGCCUCAGCCCCAGGGUCUCCCGCUGUGCCUGUCGAGCGCCCUGCACUUGGCUCCACCCCUACCGACACUGAGCUCCCCUCCAAGGUCGGGCCUGGCUUCCCAGGCACCCCAGAGUCUCUGGCUAAGAUCCCCAUAGGACUGUUUCUGGCCCCCGGUGCCCCAGACGCUCCAGCUGAGCCCUGCCGCAGAAUCUCCCGCUCCCUGGGGUCUCUGGAGGUUCCUGGUGAGGGGUCCCCACCUCCGUCUAGUCUCCCCGCAGGCCUGGCACCAGGCAUUCCGGAUGCCUCCACAGAGCUCCCCCCCAGCCCUCCUGCAGUGCAGGCCCUGUCACCAGGCCCCCCUGAUGCCCCUGCCAGGCUCCCCCACAGCUCCUCUGCAGGGCAGGCCAUGGCACCAGGCUCCCCUGAUACCCCUGCCAGGUUCCCCCACAGCCCACCUGAAGGGUGGGCCCUAGCACCAGGCGCCCAUGAUGCCCCCACAGAGCUCACCCACAGCCCCCCUGCAGGGUGGGCCCUGGCACCAGGCCCCCCUCAUGCCCGUGCUGAGCUGCCCCCCAGAAUCACUCACUCCCCAGGGGCCCCCGAAGCGCCUGUUCCAUCCCCAGAGACCCCCAACCUGUGUCCUAAGCUCCCCACCAGAGUCUCUCGGUCUCCGGGGUCCCCUGAUAGACCUGCUGAGUCCCUGGUGUCCCCAUAUAGCCCCCCAUCUCCUGAGCGGGGCUCCCCUUCACCCCUCAGCGAUGCGGAGCCAUGUGCGGGGCCUGCGCCAGCGGACGAGAGCCUCCGGUGCCCGCAGCUGGGCCUACGGCGCUCCUCAGACGGGGUGGUGCAGCUGCCAGACAAGGGGCUAGGAAUGGGGGUGCUGGGGGGCUCCCUGGCUGCCCUGCCUCGGGGAGGGCCCCCUCACUCCGGGCCACCCCUGGAGGGCGAGUCCAACUGGGCCCUGUCGCAGUCGUUCGAGUGGGCGUUCCCAUCCCGGACUGCGGAGUGGGAGCCCCCCAGGUCCCCCAUCAGAGAGGCGGAUGACUCCGGCCUCUCUGAGCAGGGGGACUCGGAUGGGGAGGGCCUGGCCCCCACCCCCAAAGGGUCUGAGGAAAGGAGCAGCUCAGAGAGGCUGGAUUGGCAGGACGCCAAGGCUGCUGGGAGUUCUGCCCACCUAGAUGGUGCCACGGGGGCCCCAUGUGAUCAGGGAGCAACUGAGGUGGGAGGCACGGAGGCCACAUGUCCUGGAGGCCCCGUGGCAGAAACGGAGCCGGCCGUGGCUGAGCUGAAGGGCCCUGCAGUGGUGGAUGAGGCGGGCACUGUCUGGGAGGAGCAGGGCAGGCCACUCCUGGAUGCCCCCCUGCGUCUGACCGAGCCGAAACCAGGCCAGGAGAGAGCCGCCCCCAUCCUGUUGUCUGACACUCCCCGGCCAGCUGGCGCCGACCGAUGCCAGGAGGACAACUUGGUGCUGGGCCUGGCGCCGGUGAGGAGCUGCCAGGAGGGCCCGAGGCCGGGCGAGGAGGGUUCUGAGCCGCAUCCCAAUGCUCGCUGGCUGGAUGAGCUGCUGGCAUCGCCCCCGCCCAGUGCUGAUGAGACCAAGAGAAAGGGCACGCCUGAGCCCAGGGACCCUGCAGGGCCAGAGGAUCUCCUGGGCUGGUCGCGGAAGGAUCUGUGCAGCGAGUUCGGCAUCAGAGGGGCCCACCGGGCUGGUGAGUUUGGCUGGGCCACCGAUCCUGGCACGGGGAAGACCGACUGGCCCGGCAGUUACAGAGCCAGUGAGACGGAGCAGGAUCGGGAGUUUGGCACCGGCACACAGGACUGGAGCGGUGCAUACAAAGAGACGGAGCUGCUGGGCGAUUCCAGUGUGGGCCACGGAAACUGGCCCGACGCCUACGGCAUGGGGGACAGUUGCCAGAAGGACGGGGAGUUCAGCCCCGGUAAGCCAGACUGGAGCAGCCAAUACAACACUGGUGGUGCUGACAGCCCGGAUGGGGAGUUCAGUACCAGGAAACUGGACUGGACCAGCACCUAUGGCAUUGGGGACGGUGCCCAGCAGGACAAGAGGUUGAGUACUAGCAAGCCGGACUGGACCUGUGAGCACAGUGUCGGUGAUACAGCCCGGCAGGACAGAGACUUCGGUACCGGCAAGCCAGACUUGGCCUGUGAGCACAGUGUCGGUGAUACCGACCAACAAGAUAGAGAGUUCGGUACCGGCAAGCCAGACUGGACCCGCCAGCCCGGUGUCGGUGAUACAGCCUGGCAGGAUAGAGAGUACGGCACCAGCAAGCCAGACUGGACCCGCCAGCCUGGUGUCGGUGAUACAGCCUGGCAGGAUAGAGAGUACGGCACCAGCGAGCCAGACUGGACCUAUGAUCAUGGUGGUGGUAAUACAGACCAGCCGGAUAGAGAGUUCGGUACCAGCAAGCCAGACUGGAUCAACAUGUACGGUGUUGGAGAUACAGACCAACAGGACAGAGAGUUGGGUACCAGCAAGCCAAGCUGGCCCCUCGAGCACGGUGUCGGAGAUACAGACCAACAGGACAGAGAGUUGGGUACCAGCAAGCCAGGUUGGCCCCUCGAGCACGGUGUCGGAGAUACAGAGCAACAGGACAGAGAGUUGGGUACCAGCAAGCCAGGCUGGCCCCUCGAGCACGGUGUCGGAGAUACAGACCAACCGGAUAGAGAGUUGGGUACCAGCAAGCUAGACUGGACCCUUGAGUACGGUAUCAGUGAUACCAACCAUCAGGGUAAGGAGUUUGGUGCUGGGAAGCCAUCCUGGACCCAGGACUGCAGUGCCAAGACCAAUGGGCAGGGUAGAGAGUGGACCUGCGAAUACGAUGUUGGCAAUACCACCCAGCAGGACAAGCCAGAUUGGACCUGCGAGUUCAGGGUUGGUGAUGGUGCCCGGCAGGACAGAGCUUUCAGCCCUGACAAACCAGCUUGGCUUGGUGAAUAUGGCGUUCACCAUACAGACCGGGAGAGUGCCUUUGGCUCUGGUGUUGGAGACUCCGACAGCGCGGCCCAAGAGCCUGGUGCCGGGAAGCCUGGGUGGAGCGGCACCGACUGGCAGGAGAGCAAGUUCCCCUUCGCUAGAAGGGAUUGUGCCAGUGAUUUCAGGAUCAGAGGAGCUGAGCACGAAAGCCAGUUCGGCGUCAUUGGGACUGAGCGGGCGGGUGGCUUUGGCUUGAGCACUUUGGAUCCAUCUGGUGCCGUUGGGACCCUGGGCCCAGCAGAGCUUGGAGAGACCCGGACUGACUGGGCUGGCUAUACCAGGACUGUGGACCUGGAUGAGCCGAGAGAGGCUGGUGUGGGGCAGUCCGACUGGACCCAAGAGCUAGGCCUCAGUGGCACAGAUCCCUCUGUCGGCCUGGGAGCAAUCAGUCCUGAGGAGCCCAGUGGGGGAUGGAUGGACUGGACAAACAAACUGAGCGUGAGCAGCAUGGAUCCCUCCAGCAGUCUGAGGGUGGGGGGCUCCGAUACACCCAGAGAGCCUGGCGUGGGGCAGCCAGAUGGGGCCAGUGACCUUGGCCCGGGAGGCCCAGCCACAGCCAGUGGCUUUGAGAGCAUGGGCCCGGCAGAGACCAGAGUGAGACAGACUGAUUGGAGCCGUGAGCUUGGCUCUGGGGAUGAGGGCUCCGCUGAGACCAGGGAGGCUGGAGCAGGGCAGAUGGACUGGGCCAGCGAGGUCGGGAUCGUACAUGGGAAACAAACCUAUGCCACAGCCAUGGCUGGCUUGGAGCCGCAUGGAGACAGGUGAGGGCUGCGCUGGGUGCAUGAGGUUUGGGCUGAAGUGUAGGGUGCUCCAUCCUGGCCUUCACUGCUCAUCAGAGCAGCCGGUGACCCCAGUGGGUCCGAAGGGAGGGGGGCAGAUCUCAUCCCGAUACCAGUGUGGGGCUGUUUAGACAGAGUACUCUUGUUGUGGGGAUCAGCACUGCUGUGCUUUCCUAAAUGGCUGAUGCCUGUUUGCUGCUGAGCUCAUUGCUCUCAAACAUCCUGCAGCAGUGAGUUCCACUGCUUAACACCUCCUCUCCUUGGGGAUGCCUCCCUUGGACUGCCACCCAGGAUGGUCAUGCACCGCCUCGUGCUGGCUUGAUCAGGGCAGUUGGGUCGCAUUCUGCCCACUACCUUUGGACCCCCUCCUUCCUCUCCUGUUACCCUCCUUGCUUUGGCGCCUAGGCUUUGAGUCAAGUCGCUGCCUUGGCCACAGGAACAUUCCCGUUUGCAUCUUAGACCCCUUUCUUGCUGGCUCAGCUGGGCUUGGAUUUGAGCUGCCUGUGUCCCUGCCAGGAGCUCUGCUGUUCACCCACAGCCCGUUAGUUCAGGGCUGUAGGCGGCUGCCCAGGCAGGAGGUGCUGCCCCACCCGCAUGUCUCAGGGCAACUUUAUUCUUCAGCAUAGGCGGGACGUCCGCCCAGAGAGUCACUCCUCCACCUGCGCUGGGCUCCAGCACUGAGACACUUCCCUCCCAUCUCUGUGUGCUGAAAGGAGGGUACUCACCUCUGUUCAGCCCCCCUGAAUCAAAGCCCAGCUCCCUUCCCGGUGAGCUCCACCAGCCCGGUCUAGAACACCCCUUUCCAGCUGGCCCUGAGAGUCGAUCAGGGGUGGCCAGACACAGGCCCCUGGCCCAGGCGGGCAGGCUGUUCCUUACAACACUCCGUUGAUUACGUCUGGUGAAUUCCAUCUUUCCCUGGGUUUCCUGGCCUUGGGUGAGUGACCUUGGCCAUCCAGUAGCUUCGUCUCAUUGGCGAGUGUUGCCACCCAUCUAUUUUCUCCUCCCCAGUCCCUUGUCCAGUGCGUAGUCUAUGGUGCAUCAGGCCCAUGGGACUUUCUGCCACUAGCUUCCUCACGCUAGGAGAAUGGGCCGUCCAUGCUUACGGUGCUUCCUGUUUUAGAAUCCGAGACGGUGCUUCCCCUCCCGCCUUGGCGCCCAUGUUUUUAGUAGUCUCCAGUGCGGGGUCUUUUAUCUCAGCCAUUAGAGCCACUGAGCAAAGUCAUCAGCCCAACUGGAAAUGCCUUCAAGGGACCUCCUUCCCAGGUGCUUGGUGCUUUCUGAGAACUGAGCCCCUUUAAGCUGUCUCAGAUUGGUCCCCCCCAAAAUGGAGGCCCCCCCCAAAUCAUUAACCACUGUGGAAAUUGGAAGCCUGUUUCAUCUCCCAGAUCCUAGUCACCUGAGCCCUCACCAAAUGACACAUUCAGAGUAGGAGGGAGGGCCACACUUUGAACAGCUGCAACAGACGGUCAAGGGAGAUAGUGAAUAUUUCCAUCCCUUGAUGUCUUCAGAUGAAGCCUGGCCACCCUCCGGGAAGACAAGCGUGAGUCAAACACAAGUCACUGAGCUCAGGGGUGGGGGUUAACUGGGUGUGUUAUGCAGAAGGUCGGGCUAGAUUGGUCUCUUCUGGCCUUCAUGCCUAUGAAAGGGGGAAGUUCCAGAAUUGGGGGGAGGGAGGGUCAGGGAGAGGGAGGAGAGCGAAGCCAACAUGUUGGAGCAGAGUGGGGGGGGGGGCAGGACCCAGAUCGGUGUCCCAGCCUAGAGCCCAGCCCCAUGGCCCAUCUCUCUGCACGGGAGCUGGGCUGCUUUGGAGACGUCUCGUGUGCCGUGGCACUGCCCUUAAAGCAGUGGUUCUCGAACUUUUGUACCCGUGACCCCUUUCACGUAGCAAGCCUCAGAGUGCGAUUCCCCCCUUAUAGAUUAAAACCACUUUUUAAUAUAUUUAACACUAUUAUAAAUGCUGGAGGCAAAGCGGGGUUUGGGGCGGAGGCUGACAGCUCAUGACCUCCCAUGUAAUAACCUCAUGACCCCCAGUUUGAGAGCCCCGGCCUUAAAGCCUCAUCAUCACCCCUCCCCUCCCGUGGAGUAGCUGUUCUCAACUGGUCUCCUUUCGUUCACUGGCUUAGUGCUUCAGAUUCCUUCCCAGCUCUCAGGCAAUGUGUCCCUACCAUGUUCCUCGGCGGGAUCUAACAGCUUCGCUUGGCCUGUAUGGAGUAACCAGGGGUUGGGGUCCGAGUUCCCUGUAAGCUGCAGGGCCGCACAACAGCCUAUUUAAUGCCAUGCAGACAUUGAGGGAACCCCCCAGGGGAGGGGCGGCCAGGGGAGGGGAGCCCCUCGUCUGGCUCCCAACCCGACCUGGACCUGCCGUGG